ACGCGUGAGGGAGGAGGCUCUUGGGUUGUAAACCUCUUUUCUCAGGGAAGAAGCUCUGACGGUACCUGAGGAAUCAGCCUCGGCUAACUCCGUGCCAGCAGCCGCGGUAAUACGGAGGAGGCAAGCGUUAUCCGGAAUUAUUGGGCGUAAAGCGUCCGCAGGUGGCGAUUCAAGUCUGCUGUCAAAGCACGGGGCUUAACUCCGUUAAGGCAGUGGAAACUGAAUAGCUAGAGUGCCGUAGGGGUAGAGGGAAUUCCCGGUGUAGCGGUGAAAUGCGUAGAGAUCGGGAAGAACAUCGGUGGCGAAAGCGCUCUACUGGACGGCAACUGACACUCAGGGACGAAAGCUAGGGGAGCGAAUGGGAUUAGAUACCCAGUAGUC
This 381-nucleotide ribosomal RNA is filed under the name uncultured Microcoleus sp. RNAcentral's name for it is "bacterial SSU rRNA". It matches the Rfam family "Bacterial small subunit ribosomal RNA", at positions 397 to 795 of the family's 1533-position model. The record is from RNAcentral. Lineage: Bacteria; Bacillati; Cyanobacteriota; Cyanophyceae; Oscillatoriales; Microcoleaceae.